AAUGAACGCUGGCGGCAUGCUUUACACAUGCAAGUCGAACGGUAACAGGUUAAGCUGACGAGUGGCGAACGGGUGAGUAAUGCAUCGGAACGUGCCCGAUCGUGGGGGAUAACGCAGCGAAAGCUGCGCUAAUACCGCAUACGAUCUGAGGAUGAAAGCGGGGGACCGUAAGGCCUCGCGCGAUCGGAGCGGCCGGUGUCAGAUUAGGUAGUUGGUGGGGUAAAGGCUCACCAAGCCAACGAUCUGUAGCUGGUCUGAGAGGACGACCAGCCACACUGGGACUGAGACACGGCCAAGAGUCCUACGGGCGGCAGCAGUGGGGAAUUUUGGACAAUGGGCGAAAGCCUGAUCCAGCAAUGCCGCGUGCAGGAAGAAGGCCUUCGGGUUGUAAACUGCUUUUGUACGGAGCGAAAAGGCCCUCUCUAAUACAGUGGGCUCAUGACGGUACCGUAAGAAUAAGCACCGGCUAACUACGUGCCAGCCGCCGCAGUAA
This 493-nucleotide ribosomal RNA is filed under the name uncultured bacterium. RNAcentral describes it as "partial 16S ribosomal RNA". It matches the Rfam family "Bacterial small subunit ribosomal RNA", at positions 29 to 523 of the family's 1533-position model. The record is from RNAcentral.